ACUCCUACGGGAGGCAGCAGUGGGAAUAUUGGACAAUGGGGGCAACCCUGAUCCAGCAAUGCCGCGUGUGUGAAGAAGGCCUGCGGGUUGUAAAGCACUUUCGUUGGGGAGGAAAGGCUCGGUGUUAAUAUCGCCGAGAGAUGACGUUACCCAAAAAGAAAGCACCGGCUAACUCUGUGCCAGCAGCCGCGGUAAUACAGAGGGUGCGAGCGUUAAUCGGAAUUACUGGGCGUAAAGCGCGCGUAGGUGGAUGAG
RNAcentral lists this ribosomal RNA (255 nucleotides) under uncultured bacterium. Its description in RNAcentral is "partial 16S ribosomal RNA". It matches the Rfam family "Bacterial small subunit ribosomal RNA", at positions 335 to 583 of the family's 1533-position model. The record is from RNAcentral.